Trachymyrmex cornetzi is the source of this 439-nucleotide long non-coding RNA. RefSeq lists it as uncharacterized. Lineage: Eukaryota; Metazoa; Arthropoda; Insecta; Hymenoptera; Formicidae. The record is from RefSeq and is a predicted model, not a curated record. The transcript is spliced from 2 exons.
UCUUCUUUCCACCAUGAUGGCGACCAUGGCGACCGUUAAGUAAACGUGUUGCGAGAUGUUGAGUGCGUUUCGGGUCGUUUAGACUAGAUAGUCAUAAAAAUUUUUGAACAGCAAAAUAACUGUUGCGUUAUGCUGAACGCAAAAAAGUAGUCGACGUUACUGAUAGAAUAAGGAUAGUGCCUUUGCUGUCCAAUGGCUCCUGUUAACUGAUAUCAAGCUGUGUUCAACAGAAGUGUGAUGUAAUACUGACUGGACAAUAUUUGUAGGGCCCACACAAAUGCUGUCCAACUGUUUUUUGGGUCUGUUUUUUCAGACCUUUUUUUUCGGUUUCGGUGGGGUCGUAGAGCCGUUCAUCACACUUGCAAUGCUGAAACACAGCUUUGUAUUGUUUUGUAGCCGAGCCUGUUGAAACUAUUGAAUAAAGAUUUUGAUGAUUAAA